This is a long non-coding RNA of Cydia fagiglandana, 625 nucleotides long. RefSeq lists it as uncharacterized. The transcript is spliced from 3 exons. The record is from RefSeq and is a predicted model, not a curated record. Lineage: Eukaryota; Metazoa; Arthropoda; Insecta; Lepidoptera; Tortricidae.
UUUUAUGAUCCAUAAAUCCGCCACGGUUUCAAAUGCAACUUUCAGUUCUUACUCAUUUGAUCGCACAGUUACUGACACAUUGGACAUGAUAAAGAGCCCGUGGGACACUGAAUCUUGGAGGUCCACGCGUGAACUCUUUUCUAUAGACUCUUCUAACUCAGGUUAUCCAAUAUCAACAACAACAUACGGUAUUACUAGCCCAUCUAUAGUGAGCGACAUUGAAACAGAACGUAUUUGUCUUGUUCUGGACGAAAGAUCUUUUAAUAGCGCUGGUUUGAAUAUUGAGUCUUAUACUUCUAAGAUCGUGAAUGCAAGGACCUGGUUAAGCAUGUGCUCGUUAGCCGAUGACCGGUUCUGGGGAAUAAAGAGUUCCUCCAUCAGUUCCACCAGCGGCACCGGAAGACCUAAAAGACCGGCAUCGUCACCGAUCAUUUCGACUAGUUUUAAAAAACCGGACAGUAUGAGUAUAUACACGACUAUGUUCUAAUUGCGUUGUCUUAAAAACACGUGAAAAACGAUGUAACAAAGAAGAAAUAAUUGAAACGUAAUAAACUAAUUAAAAUGUAUGUGUUUUCAUUAGUCCUGAAGCCAAAAACCCGUAAGAACACGUGAGUGAAUGUUGACG